RNAcentral lists this ribosomal RNA (253 nucleotides) under uncultured bacterium. Its description in RNAcentral is "partial 16S ribosomal RNA". It matches the Rfam family "Bacterial small subunit ribosomal RNA", at positions 524 to 776 of the family's 1533-position model. The record is from RNAcentral.
UACGAGGGGGGCGAGCGUUGUUCGGAAUCACUGGGCGUAAAGAGUGCGUAGGCGGUUAUGAAAGUUAGGAGUGAAAGCCCCAGGCUCAACUUGGGAAUUGCUCUUAAUACUCCAUGACUCGAAUUCGGGAGAGGAUAGCGGAAUUGUCAGUGUAGCAGUGAAAUGCGUAGAUAUUGACAGGAACACCAGUGGCGUAAGCGGCUAUCUGGACCGACAUUGACGCUGAGGCACGAAAGCGUGGGGAUCAAACAGG